GCUUAGAGUUUGAUCCUGGCUCAGAUUGAACGCUGGCGGCAUGCUUUACACAUGCAAGUCGAACGGUAACAGGUCUUCGGAUGCUGACGAGUGGCGAACGGGUGAGUAAUACAUCGGAACGUGCCUAGUAGUGGGGGAUAACUACUCGAAAGAGUAGCUAAUACCGCAUGAGAUCUACGGAUGAAAGCAGGGGACCUUCGGGCCUUGUGCUACUAGAGCGGCUGAUGGCAGAUUAGGUAGUUGGUGGGGUAAAGGCUUACCAAGCCUGCGAUCUGUAGCUGGUCUGAGAGGACGACCAGCCACACUGGGACUGAGACACGGCCCAGACUCCUACGGGAGGCAGCAGUGGGGAAUUUUGGACAAUGGGCGAAAGCCUGAUCCAGCAAUGCCGCGUGCAGGAUGAAGGCCCUCGGGUUGUAAACUGCUUUUGUACGGAACGAAAAGCCUGGGGCUAAUAUCCCCGGGUCAUGACGGUACCGUAAGAAUAAGCACCGGCUAACUACGUGCCAGCAGCCGCGGUAAUACGUAGGGUGCAAGCGUUAAUCGGAAUUACUGGGCGUAAAGCGUGCGCAGGCGGUUUUGUAAGACAGUGGUGAAAUCCCCGGGCUCAACCUGGGAACUGCCAUUGUGACUGCAAGGCUAGAGUGCGGCAGAGGGGGAUGGAAUUCCGCGUGUAGCAGUGAAAUGCGUAGAUAUGCGGAGGAACACCGAUGGCGAAGGCAAUCCCCUGGGCCUGCACUGACGCUCAUGCA
Molecule: ribosomal RNA, 752 nt
Filed under: uncultured bacterium
Lineage: Bacteria
Description: bacterial SSU rRNA
Rfam family: Bacterial small subunit ribosomal RNA
Source: RNAcentral